ACGUAGGGGGCAAGCGUUGUCCGGAUUUACUGGGCGUAAAGAGCGCGUAGGCGGACGCUUAAGUGUGGCCUGAAAGCCCCCGGCUCAACCGGGGAGGGCGGCUGCAAACUGGGCGUCUUGAGGGGGAUAGAGGAAGGUGGAAUUCCUGGUGUAGCGGUGAAAUGCGUAGAUAUUGGGAGGAACACCAGUGGCGAAGGCGGCCACCUGGACCGGUUCUGACGCUGAUGCGCGAAAGCGUGGGUAGCAAACAGGA
RNAcentral lists this ribosomal RNA (253 nucleotides) under uncultured prokaryote. RNAcentral describes it as "partial 16S ribosomal RNA". It matches the Rfam family "Bacterial small subunit ribosomal RNA", at positions 525 to 777 of the family's 1533-position model. The record is from RNAcentral.